This is a long non-coding RNA of Humulus lupulus (European hop), 446 nucleotides long. RefSeq lists it as uncharacterized. The record is from RefSeq and is a predicted model, not a curated record. The transcript has 3 exons. NCBI's taxonomy places the organism in Eukaryota, Viridiplantae, Streptophyta, Magnoliopsida, Rosales, Cannabaceae.
CACGACCAUAGCUCUUAAAAACAUAUAGAAAGAGAGUAAAAACGUCCCUUGGCUGGAGGAAAGAGAUUCCAAGGAGUUCUUAGUGAAAAUCGAACUGAAGAAGUGAAUUAAGCUCAGUUUUGGUCUUUUAACGAUAUCUCUUGGUGGAUCUCAAGUGGUUUGAAGUUUAGAAAAGCUAGAAGAGAUUGUUUCUGCCAAAAAGUUUCUCGGUCAGAAAAAUGAUGUGUAAUGGGACCAAUGAACUGAAGCCUAGUGCCGACUUUGCUUGUAAAUAUGAAUAAAUAAAAGUUGUGUGGGAGUGGUUUAUGUUUGUGUAUUCACGACUUGUGGAAUUAUGUCUUAUGUACAAUAAAUAAAAUUAUGAGACUCAUGUAUUAAGUACUAGAGACGCUCAAUAUGUAAAAUAAAUAAAGUUGAGAAACUGUUUUAUUAUACUUUAUGUAAAA